Molecule: long non-coding RNA, 2242 nt
Filed under: Equus caballus (horse)
Lineage: Eukaryota; Metazoa; Chordata; Mammalia; Perissodactyla; Equidae
Description: lncRNA (ENSECAG00000059440.1)
Source: RNAcentral
ACAACUUGCAUCUUUCUUAACACCAAAGUUUGGGUUUGGUAGCGGACAGAGUUCUUUGAUCUCUGGAAAGUUAGGUCCUGACCCAACCUUCCUUAGAGGAGGAGGAAAAGGAAGUAGGCUGGGUUGACUGAAAAGUUUUUCUUUCUAGCUAAAAAGACAGAGCCCGAUGAAGGGAAAGACUUGCCUUGUUUCUCCCUUCUGGUCUUGAGCGGCAGACGCUAGAGCAGCGGUUCUCAAGUUUGGCCAACACUGGAAUCACCUGAGGAACGUGGUGACCCUAUAAAAGGCCUGGGCUGUGUUCUUCAAGGAGCCUGGGCUGUGCUUUCCGCUCUCCAGCUGAUUCCAAUACACACCAAAGUUUGAGAACCACAGUCAAAGCUGCAGCAGCCACCCUGUGUCUGAAGGAAAUUCAGAGACACUGGUCACCAGAUGAGACGCUGAAGCAAUCCUAGCAGUCACUUACCUUCAGGCUGCUUGCUAUGUGCAAAGAAAAAAAAAAAGCUACUUAAGAUAUUUUAAGUAAUUGUGGCUGAAAGCGUUGUCGGUUGAUACACAGCCAAAUCAAAAGAGGAAUCACAACCAAUUAUAAUGUCCCCAAUGCCCAUAGAAUCAAAAUGUUCCAGUUGCUCAGAAGAAAUUCAACUUAGGCCCCGAGGCCAAAGAAAAAUUACUCCCCUAGGCCUGCAUGAAGGAGACACUGCUUGCUGUGUUAUCUUCUCAGGCUGUACACUCACCCACCCUGACAGCCUCCAAACUGUAUUGAAACCGUGCUGCCUUUUAAGAAGAGCAAUAGUCUCCUUUGAGGUCAGAACUUCGAAGUACUGCUCGAUAGUCAGAACUGGUCAUGGGAAGUCAACAGAGAGCAGCCCUGAAUGGAGCAACGUUGGGCCCGGCAAUGCAGGUGCAGAGUGUCUAGUGAAGCCUGGGGUCUCCUACAUGACUGUUUAACUUGCCCAUCUCCUUGUCCGGAAGCCCCCAGUCCUAUCACUGGAGCUACUUAGCUUGGACCAGCUAAUUCUUACCAGACAGAGCUGAAGGAGCCUGGACCAGUGAAUCACUAUAAAAUUUGACUUGUUGGAAAUUCUGCUAUGUCCUUGAACCUCAGCUCUCUAACUGAGCUCUGGCCUUUUCUCUUCGCUCCUUAGUCCAUAUCCUCAUAUUUUGAACUCCAAACCAAUUCCAUUCAAAUGUCUGUACUAUCUUUCUCUCUUCAGUUCUCCUGGGUUCUAGUCUUGGCCCUGAAAAUGUGUGACCCAGUUGCUUUGAUGUCUAUCUGUCCUAUGACUGGAGCCUCCCAGGCUUCCCAGCUAAGCCUUUCUUGACUCUGGGCUUACCGACCAAGACGUCCCCUCUUCCCUCCUAGACGGAAGAAUGGCUACAGCUCAUUGAGAGCUGUAGGCCAAGACCUCUGCGAAGAACUUUGGAAGGGAGAUAUUGUCAUUGUUAUUUUAUAUCUGAGGAAACUGAGGCUUGGAGACCAAUGUUUGCAUAUGACAAUGGCUUGUUGGAUGAAUAUAACUCAAGGAGUCCUGGAGUUUUAUGAUAUUUCUAAACCAGCCAAGCACAAUGCAAGAUAAAUCAUUAAACAUGAAAUCCAGAAUUUAGAUCCUUCAAUCAAAGUGAAGUCAUUCUUUCUAUUAGUCACACAAAAUUGCUAGUCAGAAUUAAAGAAACCUUUGGGUUAUCAUAGAAUAGUCAUCCAAUCUCAAUGGCCUUGAAUUAUUGCUAAAGAAGGAAUAGUCAACAAAGCUCAAGAACUCCUAGCACUAACUCAAUAAUGUUAAAACUGUCUUUAUAGAGAACUCUAAAGGCAUUUAAUUAUUUUCUAUUUGAAAUAGCGUUUCAUUUUGACUGAGUUGCAAUCAUAUUUAAGACCAAUGAAUUAGCUUUAGUUAUUCUGUGUUCUCAUGAUGCAUUCAAUUUAUUCAUUUAUUUACUAUACAUUUAUGGAAUGCCUGCAAUGUGCCCUGAAAUGUGUGAGGGCUGGAUAUGUGACAGUGAGGAAAAUAGACGUGAUGAUAACCCUCUUGGCACUUAAAUCUAGUAGAAGAGAGAGACAAGACAGAAAAUAAUUUUAGAUAAUAAAAAAAUAUUAUUAAAAAAUAAACAAGGCAUUUUCACAGAGAUAAUGGGUUGGAAGUAUUGUUACUUUAGAUACGAUUAUCAAGAGAGGCAUCUCCAAGGAGGAGACAUCUAAACUGAGACCAGAAAAAUGGGAAAUAUCCCAUCAUGCCAUGUGAAA